Molecule: ribosomal RNA, 1370 nt
Filed under: uncultured bacterium
Lineage: Bacteria
Description: bacterial SSU rRNA
Rfam family: Bacterial small subunit ribosomal RNA
Source: RNAcentral
UUUGAUUAUGGCUCAAGGAUGAAGGCUGGCGGCGUGCCUAACACAUGCAAGUUCGAGCGGCAGCGAGGGGGGCUUGCACCCUGUCGGCGAGCGGCGGACGGCUGAAUAACGCGUGGGAAUCUACCCUAAAGUGAGGGAUAACCGCCCGAAAGGGUGGCUAAUACCGCAUAUGAUCUUCGGAUUAAAGGAUUUAUCCGCUUUAGGAAGAGCCCGCGUUAGAUUAGGUAGUUGGUAGGGUAAUGGCCUACCAAGCCAACGAUCUAUAGCUGGUCUGAGAGGAUGAUCAGCCAGACUGGAACUGAGACACGGUCCAGACUCCUACGGGAGGCAGCAGUGAGGAAUCUUCCACAAUGGGCGAAAGCCUGAUGGAGCAACGCCGCGUGAAGGAUGAAGGCCUUCGGGUUGUAAACUUCUUUUAUGAGUGAAGAAUAUGACGGUAACUCAUGAAUAAGCACCGGCUAACUACGUGCCAGCAGCCGCGGUCAUACGUAGGGUGCAAGCAUUAUCCGGAGUGACUGGGCGUAAAGAGUUGCGUAGGCGGUUUAAUAAGUGAAUAGUGAAACCUGGUGGCUCAACCAUACAGACUAUUAUUCAAACUGUUAAACUCGAGAGUAGUAGAGGUAACUGGAAUUUCUAGUGUAGGAGUGAAAUCCGUAGAUAUUAGAAGGAACACCAAUGGCGUAGGCAGGUUACUGGACUAUUUCUGACGCUAAGGCACGAAAGCGUGGGGAGCGAACUGGAUUAGAUACCCAGGUAGUCCACGCCGUAAACGAUGGAUACUAGCUGUUGGAGGUAUCGACCCCUUCAGUAGCGAAGCUAACGCGUUAAGUAUCCCGCCUGUGGAGUACGGCCGCAAGGCUAAAACAUAAAGGAAUUGACGGGGACCCGCACGAGCGGUGGAUCAUGUUCUUUAAUUCGAUGAUAAACGAAGAACCUUACCAGGGUUUGACAUCCCGAGAAGAUUUACGAAAGUAGAUUGUGCCUUUUGGAACUCGGUGACAGAUGAUGCAUGGCCGUCGUCAGCUCGUGUCGUGAGAUGUUUGGUUAAGUCCAUCAACGAGCGCAACCCUUGUGAAUAGUUGAAUUUUUCUAUUCAGACUGCCCCGGCAACGGGGAGGAAGGAGGGGAUGAUGUCAGGUCAGUAUUUCUCUUACAUCCUGGGCUAGAAACGUGAUACAAUGGCAAGUACAAUGCGCAGCGAAGCCGCGAGGUGAAGCAAAUCGCACCAAAGCUUGUCCCAGUUCGGAUUGGAGGCUGAAACUCGCCUCCAUGAAAGUCGGAAAUCGCUAGUAAUCGCAGGUCAGCAAAACUGCGGUGAAAUACGUUCCCGGGUCUUGUACACACCGCCCGUCAAAGGGCGAAAUUUCGUU